Molecule: ribosomal RNA, 253 nt
Filed under: uncultured bacterium
Lineage: Bacteria
Description: partial 16S ribosomal RNA
Rfam family: Bacterial small subunit ribosomal RNA
Source: RNAcentral
UACGUAGGGUGCAAGCGUUAAUCGGAAUUACUGGGCGUAAAGCGUGCGCAGGCGGCCAUGCAAGACAGAUGUGAAAUCCCCGGGCUCAACCUGGGAACUGCAUUCGUGACUGCAUGGCUAGAGUGCGGCAGAGGGGGAUGGAAUUCCGCGUGUAGCAGUGAAAUGCGUAGAUAUGCGGAGGAACACCGAUGGCGAAGGCAAUCCCCUGGGCCUGCACUGACGCUCAUGCACGAAAGCGUGGGGAGCAAACAGG